CGGAAGCGCGACGCUGGAGCUGCGGGGUUACCAUGGGAACCGAACCGCCGCGCCUCGCCCAGGACAGUUACACUUAGAGGCCUUCAAAAGAGGGAGAAUGCCCUCCCGAUAAGAACCCAUGCAAAGAGCUGUGCCAGGGCGACGAAUUGUGUCCGGCUGAACAGAAGUGCUGCACCACAGGCUGUGGUCGGAUCUGCCGAGACAUUCCUAAGGAGUUUGGUGGUGAAUGUCCCGCUGACCCCCUUCCAUGUGAGGAGCUGUGUGAUGGGGAUGCAUCCUGUCCCCAGGGGCAUAAAUGCUGCAGCACCGGCUGUGGCCGCACCUGCCUCGGAGACAUUGAGGGAGGGCGGGGCGGUGAUUGUCCAAAAGUUCUGGUGGGCCUGUGCAUUGUUGGCUGUGUGAUGGAUGAGAAUUGUCAAGCUGGAGAAAAAUGUUGCAAGUCAGGCUGUGGCCGCUUCUGUGUCCCACCAGUACUGCCCCCAAAACUGACCAUGAACCCCAACUGGACUGUGAGGUCUGAUUCCGAAUUAG
This 531-nucleotide small RNA is filed under the name Pan troglodytes (chimpanzee). RNAcentral's name for it is "processed transcript". Lineage: Eukaryota; Metazoa; Chordata; Mammalia; Primates; Hominidae. The record is from RNAcentral.